AUGGGGUGUUACCCUUCAGUGAAUUCAUAGCUGUUGUGGGGGUUUACGCGGGGAAGUGAAACAUCUCAGUACCCGUAGGAGGAGAAAAUAAUAAUGAUUCUGCUAGUAGUGGCGAACGAACGUGGAUGAGGCUAAACCGUGUGCAUGUGAUACCUGGUAGGGGUUGUGUGUGCGGUGUUGUGGGCCCUAAUUGACGGUGACUACCAUCAUCGUGCUCGUGUGUUGUUGUUAGGUGAAGUGGUUUGGAAUGGCCUGCCGGAGAAGGUGAGAGUCCUGUAGUUUAAGACAAU
Molecule: ribosomal RNA, 290 nt
Filed under: Anophryoides haemophila
Lineage: Eukaryota; Ciliophora; Oligohymenophorea; Philasterida; Glauconematidae
Description: partial Bacterial large subunit ribosomal RNA
Rfam family: Bacterial large subunit ribosomal RNA
Source: RNAcentral